UCCAAUAUGCUGCCUUUGCCUGCAUUUGCACCUGCACUUUACUUGCUUUUCUCUCUUCAACUAUCUACCUGAAUUAGUCCCUACAAAACACACAUUUUCAUGGAAAAAAACACAAGAUUACGUUGUGUAUGUGUGUGGGAAUGGAUGAGAAACCAAGCACGAGGUGCAGGUGCAUCUGCAGGCGAAUGACAUCUUGGA
RNAcentral lists this microRNA precursor (198 nucleotides) under Vigna radiata var. radiata (mung bean). Its description in RNAcentral is "pre miRNA MIR530". It matches the Rfam family "MIR530 microRNA precursor family". Lineage: Eukaryota; Viridiplantae; Streptophyta; Magnoliopsida; Fabales; Fabaceae. The record is from Rfam by way of RNAcentral.